GUGCUCCUGCGGGCCCGCGGGGCGGGAUGACCCAGUCGGUGGUCGUCCAGGUCGGGCAGUGCGGGAACCAGAUCGGCUGCUGCUUCUGGGACCUGGCGCUGAGGGAGCACGCCGCGGUCAACCAGAAAGGAAUUUAUGACGAUGCACUAAGCAGCUUCUUCAGGAAUGUGGAUACCAGAGUGGUUGGUGAUGGCGGCAGUAUUUCCAAAGGAAGAAUAUCUUCUUUAAAAGCACGAGCCGUUUUGAUUGACAUGGAAGAAGGAGUAGUGAAUGAAAUUCUCCAAGGACCCCUGAGAGAUGUGUUUGAUAGCAAGCAGCUCAUCACGGAUAUUUCUGGCUCAGGAAAUAAUUGGGCUGUGGGUCACAGAGUGUUUGGAAGUCUUUACCGGGAACAGAUUUUGGAGAAACUCCGGAAGUCAGCAGAGCACUGUGACUGCCUGCAGUGCUUCUUCAUCGUACACUCCAUGGGGGGAGGAACAGGAUCUGGACUUGGCACGUUUCUGUUAAAGGUACUUGAAGAUGAGUUCCCAGAAGUGUACAGAUUUGUGACAGCGGUUUUUCCUUCCAACGAGGACGAUGUCAUCACCUCACCUUACAACAGCAUGCUGGCCAUGAAGGAGCUGAAUGAGCACGCAGACUGUGUGUUGCCCAUUGACAACCAAUCUUUAUUUGACAUCAUUAGCAAAAUUGAUCUUGUGGUAAAUUCUGGAAAGUUGGGUACAGCUGUGAAGCCUAAGAGUCUAGUUACUUCAAAUGUAGGGGCUGUUAAAAAGCGCCACACGAAGCCUUUUGAUGCAAUGAACAACAUUGUGGCCAAUCUGCUCCUCAGCCUGACAAGCUCUGCGAGAUUUGAGGGAUCCCUUAAUAUGGACUUGAAUGAGAUCAGCAUGAACUUGGUUCCUUUCCCUCAACUUCAUUAUCUUGUCUCAAGCCUUACACCUCUGUACACACUGGCAGAUGUUAACAUUCCCCCUCGAAGAUUGGACCAGAUGUUUUCAGAUGCCUUUAGUAAAGAUCACCAGCUCAUUCAAGCAGACCCCAGACGUAGUCUCUACCUCGCCUGUGCCCUCAUCGUUAGAGGAAACGUACAGAUUUCAGAUCUGCGCAGAAAUAUUGAAAGAUUAAAACCUGCUCUGCAAUUUGUCUCCUGGAAUCAAGAAGGCUGGAAGACUAGCCUGUGUUCAGUACCGCCCGUGGGUCACUCCCAUUCAUUAUUGGCUUUAGCAAACAACACGUGUGUGAAGCCUACUUUCAUGGAACUGAGAGAAAGGUUCAUGAGGCUCUACAAGAAAAAGGACUUCCUGAGUAGUGGGCUUUGGCCUGGGUUCCAGCUCCAAUGGAGGGAGCCUCAGAUCCCAUCAGAAAUCGGUUGAUUACCCCCAUAUCAGUCAUGCCACUCUUGUGCUUGUGGACACACCUUCAGGCACAAUGUUUGUUUGACGCUCACCUGCAUCACUAUCUGCACAUUGACGGGAUGGAGGAAGGUGCCUUUGCAGAUGCUCUGUCCUCUCUGUCAGCGCUCAUACAGGAGUAUAAUGAACUGGAUGCCACAAAGGGCAUGCCUGUGCAGGAUGUGCCUAGGCUAAGUGUGGCCUUGUGAAAGAAGCAGCUAAAAAUGCAUUGUUACUCUUUUCUGA
Molecule: RNA transcript, 1637 nt
Organism: Peromyscus eremicus (cactus mouse)
Lineage: Eukaryota; Metazoa; Chordata; Mammalia; Rodentia; Cricetidae
Gene: Tube1
Gene name: tubulin epsilon 1
Exons: 13
Source: RefSeq, a predicted model, not a curated record